GUUGUAUAGUUAAGUGACUAAGCGUGCACGGUGGAUGCCUAGGCGGUAGAAGGCGAUGAAGGACGUGAUAGCCUGCGAUAAGCUUCGGUGAGGUGGCAAAUAACCUUUGACCCGAAGAUUUCCGAAUGGGAAAACCCACUCAGCUUGCUGAGUAUCCUGCUUGCAGGAGGCGAACCCGGAGAACUGAAACAUCUAAGUACCCGGAGGAAAAGAAAUCAACCGAGAUUCCCCAAGUAGCGGCGAGCGAACGGGGAUUAGCCCUUAAGCAUAGAUAAGGUUAGCAGAAGGCUCUGGAAAGUGCCACGGUACAGGGUGAUAGUCCCGUAUGCGAAAAUCUUUUUUAUGUGAAAACGAGUAGGACGGAACACGUGAAACUCUGUCUGAACAUGGGGGGACCACCCUCCAAGGCUAAAUACUCUCUACCGACCGAUAGUGAACCAGUACCGUGAGGGAAAGGCGAAAAGAACCCCUGAAGGGGAGUGAAAUAGAACCUGAAACCGUGUACGUACAAGCAGUGGGAGCUCUUUAUGAGUGACCGCGUACCUUUUGUAUAAUGGGUCAGCGACUUACGUUGUGUAGCAAGGUUAACUGAAUAAGGGAGCCGAAGGGAAACCGAGUCUUAAAUGGGCGGUUAGUUGCACGGCGUAGACCCGAAACCGGGCGAUCUAUCCAUGGCCAGGUUGAAGGUGCCGUAACAGGUACUGGAGGACCGAACCCACGUAUGUUGAAAAAUGCGGGGAUGAGUUGUGGAUCGGAGUGAAAGGCUAAUCAAGCCCGGAGAUAGCUGGUUCUCCUCGAAAUCUAUUUAGGUAGAGCCUCAUGUCUCACUGCCGGGGGUAGAGCACUGUUAUGGUCUAGCGGGCCGUCAAGGCUUAGCAGCCCAUUGCAAACUCCGAAUACCGGCAAGUGCAAUCAUGGGAGACAGACACCGGGUGCUAACGUCCGAUGUCAAGAGGGAAACAACCCAGACCACCAGCUAAGGUCCCUAAACACUGCUCAGUGGGAAAGGAUGUGGGAAGGCUUAGACAGUCAGGAGGUUGGCUUAGAAGCAGCCAUCCUUUAAAGAAAGCGUAAUAGCUCACUGAUCGAGUCGGCCUGCGCCGAAGAUUUAACGGGGCUAAGCAGUGUACCGAAGCUGUGGACUCUUUUAGAGUGGUAGAGGAGCGUCGUGUAAGCCUGCGAAGGGAAAUUGAGAAGUUUUCUGGAGGUAUCACGAGUGCGAAUGCUGACAUGAGUAGCGAUAAAGGGAGUGAAAAGCUCCCUCGCCGAAAGACCAAGGGUUCCUACGCAACGCUAAUCGACGUAGGGUUAGUCGACCCCUAAGACGAGGCCGAACGGCGUAGUCGAUGGGAAACAGGUUAAUAUUCCUGUACUUUUUGUGACUGCGAUGGAGAGACGGAGAAGGCUAGGCCAGCUUACAGAUGGUGUAAGUUUAAGAUGGUAGGCAGGACGCUUAGGCAAAUCCGGGCGUUCAAUGUCGAGAAUCGAUGACGAGCUCAUUGCGAGCGAAGUGGUUGAUGCCAGGCUUCCAGGAAAAUCUUCUAAGCUUCAGGUCACAGAGAAUCGUACCCCAAACCGACACAGGUGGUCAGGAUGAGAAUUCCAAGGCGCUUGAGAGAACUCGGGUGAAGGAACUAGGCAAAAUGACACCGUAACUUCGGGAGAAGGUGUGCCUCUUAUGGUGAAGGACUUGCUCUGUAAGCUAUGAGAGGUUGCAGAGACCAGGUGGCUGCAACUGUUUACUAAAAACACAGCACUCUGCUAAAUCGUAAGAUGACGUAUAGGGUGUGACGCCUGCCCGGUGCCGGAAGGUUAAUUGAUGGGGUUAGCUUUUAGCGAAGCCCUUGAUCGAAGCCCCGGUAAACGGCGGCCGUAACUAUAACGGUCCUAAGGUAGCGAAAUUCCUUGUCGGGUAAGUUCCGACCUGCACGAAUGGCGUAAUGAUGGCCACACUGUCUCCACCCGAGACUCAGCGAAAUUGAAAUCGCAGUUAAGAUGCUGCGUACCCGCGGCUAGACGGAAAGACCCCGUGAACCUUUACUACAGCUUUACACUGGACUUUGACCCUACUUGUGCAGGAUAGGUGGGAGGCUUUGAAACUGUGACGCCAGUUGCAGUGGAGCCACCCUUGAAAUACCACCCUGGUAGUGUUGAGGUUCUAACCUCGGUCAGUGAAUCCUGACCAGGGACAGUGUAUGGUGGGUAGUUUGACUGGGGCGGUCUCCUCCCAAAGCGUAACGGAGGAGCGCGAAGGUACCCUCAGCACGGUCGGACAUCGUGCAUUGAGCGCAAGAGUAAAAGGGUGCUUGACUGCGAGACAGACACGUCGAGCAGGUGCGAAAGCAGGUUCUAGUGAUCCGGUGGUUCUGAGUGGAAGGGCCAUCGCUCAACGGAUAAAAGGUACUCCGGGGAUAACAGGCUGAUACCGCCCAAGAGUUCAUAUCGACGGCGGUGUUUGGCACCUCGAUGUCGGCUCAUCACAUCCUGGGGCUGAAGUCGGUCCCAAGGGUAUGGCUGUUCGCCAUUUAAAGUGGUACGCGAGCUGGGUUUAGAACGUCGUGAGACAGUUCGGUCCCUAUCUGCCGUGGGCGUUGGAGAAUUGAGAGGGGCUGCUCCUAGUACGAGAGGACCGGAGUGGACGAACCUCUGGUGUUCGGGUUGUCACGCCAGUGGCACUGCCCGGUAGCUAUGUUCGGGAAGGAUAACCGCUGAAAGCAUCUAAGCGGGAAACCUGCCUCGAGAUAAGUUCUCCCUUGACUUUAAGUCAUCUGAAGGGCCGUUGAAGACGACAACGUUGAUAGGCUGGGUGUGGAAGUUCAGUAAUGGAUGAAGCUAACCAGUACUAAUUACCCGUGCGGCUUAACUAUACAACUCA
This 2875-nucleotide ribosomal RNA is filed under the name Thiomicrospira sp. WB1. Its description in RNAcentral is "bacterial LSU rRNA". It matches the Rfam family "Bacterial large subunit ribosomal RNA". Lineage: Bacteria; Pseudomonadati; Pseudomonadota; Gammaproteobacteria; Thiotrichales; Piscirickettsiaceae. The record is from RNAcentral.